AUUGAACGCUGGCGGCAGGCCUAACACAUGCAAGUCGAGCGGAUGAAGGGAGCUUGCUCCUGGAUUCAGCGGCGGACGGGUGAGUAAUGCCUAGGAAUCUGCCUGGUAGUGGGGGAUAACGUCCGGAAACGGGCGCUAAUACCGCAUACGUCCUGAGGGAGAAAGUGGGGGAUCUUCGGACCUCACGCUAUCAGAUGAGCCUAGGUCGGAUUAGCUAGUUGGUGGGGUAAAGGCCUACCAAGGCGACGAUCCGUAACUGGUCUGAGAGGAUGAUCAGUCACACGGGAAAUGAGACACGGCCCAGACCCCUAGGGGAGGCAGCAGUGGGGAAUAUGGGACAAGGGGGGAAAGCCUGAUCCAGCCAGGCCGGGUGUGUGAAGAAGGUCUGCGGAUUGUAAAGCACUUUAAGUUGGGAGGAAGGGAAGUAAGUUAAAACCUGGCUUUUUUGACGUUACCAACAGAAAAAGCACCGGCUAACUUCGU
RNAcentral lists this ribosomal RNA (483 nucleotides) under uncultured bacterium. RNAcentral's name for it is "partial 16S ribosomal RNA". It matches the Rfam family "Bacterial small subunit ribosomal RNA", at positions 29 to 506 of the family's 1533-position model. The record is from RNAcentral.